Long non-coding RNA from Amphimedon queenslandica, 305 nucleotides. RefSeq lists it as uncharacterized. The record is from RefSeq and is a predicted model, not a curated record. The transcript is spliced from 3 exons. NCBI's taxonomy places the organism in Eukaryota, Metazoa, Porifera, Demospongiae, Haplosclerida, Niphatidae.
AGGCGGGGUUUUACUUAAGCGGUUGUGGUUCGUGGAGAACAUUAUUAUCAGAGAAAGACUGUACCUUUUCUGGAAGAUUGUAUUCUUUAUCACCUGGUUUAGAGACUGGCUUAAAGAAACAUAGCCCUCCUGCUGUUGCUCCUCCCCCUCCAUCAGUUGAUAUUAAUAAAUUAAGACGAAUAAUAACUGAAGUGAUACGAACCAACUACGCUACAUUCAAUAAAAUGUGAUGUAAAGACAUUGUUAAUCAGAUUAUAAGAAGCAUAAUGAAGGUGGUACCACUGCUUCAGCUUGUAAGUAUAAGU